Molecule: ribosomal RNA, 269 nt
Filed under: uncultured bacterium
Lineage: Bacteria
Description: partial 16S ribosomal RNA
Rfam family: Bacterial small subunit ribosomal RNA
Source: RNAcentral
AGUUGGUGAGGUAAAGGCUCACCAAGGCGACGAUCUGUAGCGGGUCUGAGAGGAUGAUCCGCCACACUGGAACUGAGACACGGUCCAGACUCCUACGGGAGGCAGCAGGUGGGGAAUUUUGGACAAUGGGCGCAAGCCUGAUCCAGCCAUGCCGCGUGAGUGAAGAAGGCCUUCGGGUUGUAAAGCUCUUUCGGCCGGGAAGAAAUCGUAUGGGUUAAUACCCUGUGCGGAUGACGGUACCGGCAUAAGAAGCACCGGCUAACUACGUG